This is a non-coding RNA of Betta splendens (Siamese fighting fish), 837 nucleotides long. The record is from the annotation of a RefSeq genome assembly. Lineage: Eukaryota; Metazoa; Chordata; Actinopteri; Anabantiformes; Osphronemidae.
CCAGCAGCCGUCGUCAUCUGUUCAGGACUCUACGUCCCUCAAACACUGAACUGGUUCAGAACAACAGUAUCUGAUAAACUCAACAUGAUGUUUUUCUGGACUUUAUUUUUUAUUGUGUCACUUCAAGGAGUUUGGGCUGAGAUCAGACUGGAACAGUCUUCUCCUGAGGUAAAACGACCUGGAGAAACAGUGAAGAUGUCGUGUGUCAUAUCUGGUUACAGCAUGACAAGCUAUGAUAUUCACUGGAUACGGCAGCGACCAGGAGAAGCUCUGGUGUGGAUUGGGUGGAUGAACACAGGAACCAAUGCUGCCAUUUAUGGCAGCUCCUUCCAAGGCCGAUUCCUCAUGACGGAAAACGUUCCCAGCAGCACUCAGUACCUGGAGAUCAAGAGUCUCACAGCAGAGGAUGCUGCUGUUUACUACUGUGCUCGACAACACAUUGACUGAAGGCAGUGGAGCAGCUGCACAAAAACUACACACAAAGUAUUCCCAGUGAACGUAAAGUCUAAAAAACAACCUCCCAUCACUCACUACCAACACUCAGCACCACAGAUAUGAGUGGUUUGUUUCCAUAAUGUCCCAUGUCAUUUAUGCUGAGAAGGUUCUUGAUUAUUUUAUUAGACAACUUGACAAGUAUUUUUCAUGGAGAAUCAAAGAAUCAUCUGACAAAUCCAGACAUAAUGUUUGUUGAGAAAAAGGACUCUCACAAAAGUGACAUCAAUCAUUUUUCCAUGUCUUUAUACAAACCAUAAACAAAUCAGCACGUGACAGACUUGAACUGCAAUUUUCACAGAACUGUAAUCUGUAAUCUGAAUCUGCACAUAUCUCUGUCUAGGU